GGUCACCUCGGGGGGCAGCAGUGAGGAAUAUUGGUCAAUGGGCGGGAGCCUGAACCAGCCAAGCCGCGUGAGGGAAGAAGGUACAGCGUAUCGUAAACCUCUUUUGUCAGGGAACAAAGGCGGGGACUAGUCCCCGGUUGAGGGUACCUGAAGAAAAAGCAUCGGCUAACUCCGUGCCAGCAGCCGCGGUAAUACGGAGGAUGCGAGCGUUAUCCGGAUUUAUUGGGUUUAAAGGGUGCGCAGGCGGCCUGUUAAGUCAGCGGUAAAAGCCCGGGGCUCAACCCCGGCGAGCCGUUGAAACGGGG
This 305-nucleotide ribosomal RNA is filed under the name uncultured bacterium. RNAcentral describes it as "bacterial SSU rRNA". It matches the Rfam family "Bacterial small subunit ribosomal RNA", at positions 333 to 637 of the family's 1533-position model. The record is from RNAcentral.